CGGCCGAGGGCGGAGAGGCGGCGCGAAUGUGACCUCAGCGGCCGCCGCGCUCCCUCCCGCCCUCUCCCGCUCCGGGCUCGGGUUUCUAGGACUGCCUGGAGAAGUGUGUCUUGUGCACAGCUCUGGAAUGCAUUUGGCAGGCUGACGAGCAGCGAGGGGCAGCAUCCUGGAGGGAGGAGGGGUGCAGCUCGCCCGCGCGCCGCCGGCAGGUUUCCUCCCGGCCUGGAAGACCUCCGGCACCCGCCACUCGGCCUCCCGGCGCGCUAACCUUGCCCAGCCAGCAGACCUGCUUAGAGCAUCCAAUCGCAUGCGGGGCCUGCUUAGGGUCAGAGAGUUUAUUCCUUCACCAUAGGUUCCAGAGAAAGCUAUCCCCAGAUGCAAGUGAUUGCUAGGAAGUAGAAAAGGUAUUUGUCAAGCAAAAGUCCGUGGAGCAGGUCUGAGGAUAGUACUAGAGUGUUAAAUGUUACUGAGACAACUAGUUGGCAUGGUGAUCCAACCUGACAUAUUUAGUAGGUUUUUGAAAAGUUGCUUGAAAUUGUAACAUUAGGACAGUCAUGAAACUUACGGGGGGGGGGGGGGGUAAAAGAAUUUUUUUUUACCAGAUGUGGAAUAUAAUAUUUAUUUCUUGCCACUGGAAUGAUAUGUUCUGGAAAAGAUAAAUUAUAAAUACCCUUUCUUUCCAGUAACGUUUGUUUCUAACCUGAUAGAUAAUUGACACACAUUUAGAGGGCUGGGGGUAUAAUUCCUUAGAGACCCUGGAUUCAGUGACUAGCAACACUAACUAGGAAUCAUCAUUUUGAAUUAGGUUCUCUGACCAUUCCCCUUCCACACUAAACUCUUACAACUAGAAAAGAAAACCAACAAGUUCUAUCACAUGAUUCUCUCCCUAGGGAGCCCUACGUUGUGGAAGGAAGACAACAGUAUAGGACCAUCAGCAGGACCGGACAGAGAGGGGCACGUAAGCAGUAAUUACUGGAUGGCAUAGUAAUUCUACUAAAAAUUAAAAUGCCACUUAUUGGAAUGGUGUGUGAACACUCUAAAGCAACCCGGGAAGAAGACAGCAGUCAAGAAGACCAAGGAAGGAAAUGGAGGAGGGAUGACCCCACCAUUACAGGCAGGGAAGGACUGACCAAAGAGACAGAAAUGUAGUCUAGGAAAUGUGUCAUCUUAGAAAGGAACGGGAAGGGGCUGGAGAGGUGGCUCAGAAGUAAAGAGCAGUGGAUGCUCUUUCAGGGGACCUGAGUUGGCCUCCUAAUGUCUUCAGGUACCUCCUAACUGCAUGUAACUCCAGCUCCGGGAGAUUCUGGAUUCUUCUGGUCUCCACGGCACUGCGUUCACGCGCACGCGCGCGCGCACACACACACACACACACACACACACACAAAUUAAUCUUAGAAAAGCAUAGGAAGCCUGAUUUUUUGUUUGUUUGUUUGUUUUGGGGUUUUUUUUUUGUUUGUUUUGUUUUGUUUUUGAGACAGGGUUUCUCUGUAUAGCCCUGGCUGUCCUGGAACUUGUAGACCAGGCUGGCCUUGAACUCAGAAAUCCGCCUGCCUCUGACUCCCGAGUGCUGAGAUUAAAGGUGUGCACCACCACACCCGACAAGGAAGCCUGUUUUAAGAAGUGAUUCCAUGGAGGAGUUCUGCGGCGGCUCAGGGCUUGACUAAACAGUGGACCUCAGACAAGAGAGGCUAAACCAGGCUGCAGGUGACAGGAAGAAUUGAAUAAACUGAAAGCAAAGGGCAGCCUUCUAAUUACGCUUCGUGGCUAUGUGGACAACCUGGAGAAGUCUGGAAACAAGCCAGAAGCCCGAAGCCAGCAGUAGAGCUCUGACUGGCUUGUAUGCCUAGAAAGGAAGGGCUCUUCUUUCGCCUCACGGGCACAAAUGGGACCCACGAGCGCCGAUUUCAGACUAUUCUGAUCCCUUCAAAAAGAAAGUUAGGAGUCCAGGCUACUUCACUUUGGUGAUAGUAAUCAAACCCUAAUCACGGUGCAGCCACAAGUCACAGAGACCGAAAUAGCAGACUUAUGACAGACAAGGAUGGAGACAGCUAAGGAACUGGCUAUUAAUCACCAGUCCCUCUGCUCACAGCCCAUUGGACCCGAGGGUGAAGGAUGAGGAGGAUGGAAGAAAAUGGGAGUGGCGCUUGCUGCAAAGGGUCUCGAAGGGUCUCAGCACCUGCGAACUGGCUCCAAUCCAAACUCCACUAUUCAUGGUCAAGUUCACAUAGGGCUUGGGGUUCUAACAAGAUGUGACUAAACUUACGUUUUCUAUCUUAUUGAUUGUUGUUGAUGCACGUCUGGUGGUACAUGCUUGAAGAACACAGACACCCUGAGAAGAAAGACAUAGCUCCCCAGAUUCCAGCACGCACUUCUCUGUGAGCUACCACUGUAGCUGAAGAUACAGGGCUCAGGAGGAACACUUGGCCUUCGCUCUGAACUUCAGGCCCACGUAACCAUCAGCCGACAUGACACUGCAAAGGCACCUUAGCUCUGCUGUCCCAGAUGGCCAAGCCAACCUUAUUCCAGAAGCUACUUCUCCUGAUGUAAGAACCAGACACAAAGGACAACCUCUGCCUCACCCUCCUUCACACAACACUGAGUCUGUCAUCUUUGAAGCAUUUCUCAAGCCAUGUUUAUUCCCCUGGCCUACGUGGAACACAGCCAGGGUACGGAACACAACCUCAGCACCGGUCUGCUUUCCUCUCCCCAUUUCUGGUCUUUCUCAGAUGCCCAGAGCUCCUCUGUCCCAAUGACUGCUUAUCAAAGAUCUCACUGUGUCCCCACCCAAGGGGUCUUUGGCCACCCUGUGAAGUCCUAGUGGCCUGGAGUUUGCCCCCUUUCCCAGACACCUUAGGGUUCCUGCUGCAGCUCCAGAACUGGGGGAGCAGGGUUGGGGGUGAGUGUGUGUGUGUGUGUGUGUGUGUGUGUGUGUGUGUGUGUUGACUCACCCUGCAGUAUUCUCUCCAUCUGCACAGGUCCCCAGUCUCUGAGACUGAAUCACCCCUCUUUCACUAUGCCUCUGCACAGCUGCCCUUGUGCUCCCUCUCCUUGCCCCGCCUCUUUUUAAGACAGUAUUAUGCAGCCCUGGCUGUCCUGGAACUUAUGUAAACCAGCCUGGCCUUGAACUUGCAGAGAUCCACCUGCCUUUGCCUCUGCCCCUGCCCCUGCCCCUGCCCCUGCCCCUGCCCCUGCCCCUGCCUUUCUGCCUCUGCCUCUGCCUCUCUGCCUUUCUGCCUCUGCCUCUCUGCCUCUGCCUCUCUGCCUCUGCCUCUCAAGUGUCAGGGAUUAAUGCCUGCCACCUCCCCAGUCCCACCCCUCUCCAUCUACCAUGUGGGUUCCACGGGGCAAACCCAAGUCAUCAGGCUUGUUGGCCAGUGCCUUUAUCCACUGAGCCAAGCCGCUUGGUGUGUCUUUGAUGGUGAUUAUUUACAGGAGCUAUUCAGCAAGGUUAAAUGCUGGCAACCCAAUGAGGGGGUCUCUUGAUCCAAAACUGAGAAGUUGAGGCACUAUUUCAGAAUGACCAAAGACAGUAGAAGAAUCUAGAUAUGUCGAUGAUGAGAACAAUGAUAACUCCAAAAGCUGAGGGAAAUUAACUCAAAAUCUUCCAGCUUCCUUUUCCUUACCUAGUUUGGCGGACUCCAACUCUUGGGAUAGCUUUUUUUCUGGCCCCAAACUCACCUGAUUCGUCUGUCCACUGCCACACUGAAGAAUGAACAGCUGUCUCAGAGAGCUUGGCUCCAGAGCUCUGCAAAAAGAGGACACCUUGCCUUGAGCUGUGUUUCCAGAAUGUAUUGCAGCCCCCAGAGUCAUGUACUGUGACCAGGUGAGGACAUGCAUCUUCUGUUCUCCUGCACCCAGGGCCCCAGCAACCAAGGAUCUGGGGACAUGGCGGGUGUUUGGCAGGUUCGCACUCUGAAAAUAUUUGAUGAGACUCAGUAUAUGCUAAAUAAACACUGGAUCAAGUU
This 3965-nucleotide long non-coding RNA is filed under the name Mus musculus (house mouse). RNAcentral describes it as "predicted gene 20544". Lineage: Eukaryota; Metazoa; Chordata; Mammalia; Rodentia; Muridae. The record is from RNAcentral.